CACGUAGGGUGCGAGCGUUGUCCGGAAUUAUUGGGCGUAAAGAGCUCGUAGGUGGUUCGGUAAGUCGGAUGUGAAAUCUCCAGGCUCAACCUGGAGGGGUCAUUCGAUACUGCCGUGACUAGAGUUCGGUAGAGGAGUGUGGAAUUCCUGGUGGAGCGGUGAAAUGCGCAGAGAUCAGGAGGAACACCCGUAGCGAAGGCGGCACUCUGGGCCGAUACUGACAUUGAGGAGCGAAAGCGUGGGGAGCGAACAGG
RNAcentral lists this ribosomal RNA (254 nucleotides) under uncultured bacterium. RNAcentral's name for it is "partial 16S ribosomal RNA". It matches the Rfam family "Bacterial small subunit ribosomal RNA", at positions 524 to 776 of the family's 1533-position model. The record is from RNAcentral.